CUCCGGUGGAUCCUGCCGGAUCUGACUGCUAUCGGAUUGGUACUAAGCCAUGCGAGUCAUUGUAGCAAUACAAGGCGGACGGGUCAGUAACACGUAGUCAACCUAACCUAUGGACGUGGAUAACCUCGGGAAACUGAGAAUAAACCGCGAUAGAUCAUUAUGCCUGGAAUGGCUUAUGGUUCAAACAAUUUAUUGCCGUAGGAUGGGACUGCGGCCUAUCAGCUUGUUGGUGAGGUAAUGGCCCACCAAGGCUAUAACAGGUACGGGCUCUGAGAGGAGAAGCCCGGAGAUGGGUACUGAGACACGGACCCAGGCCCUAUGGGGCGCAGCAGGCGAGAAACCUUAGCAAUGUGCGAAAGCACGACUAGGUUAAUCCGAGUGAUUCCUGUUGAAGGAAUCUUUUGUCAGUCGUAAAACCACAGACGAAUAAGGGGUGGGCAAGUCUGGUGUCAGCCGCCGCGGUAAUACCAGCACCUCGAGUGGUCAGGAGGUUUAUUGGGCCUAAAGCAUCCGUAGCCGGCUUUGCAAGUCUCCGGUUAAAUCCAGCUGCUCAACAGAUGGGCUGCCGGAGAUACUACACAGCUAGGGAGCGGGAGAGGCAGACGGUAUUCUGUGGGUAGGGGUAAAAUCCACUGAUCCAUAGAGGACCACCAGUGGCGAAGGCGGUCUGCCAGAACGCGUUCGACGGUGAGGGAUGAAAGCUGGGGGAGCAAACCGGAUUAGAUACCCGGGUAGUCCCAGCUGUAAACGAUGCAAACUCGGUGAUGCAUUGGCUUAUGGCCAAUGCAGUGCCGCAGGGAAGCCGUUAAGUUUGCCGCCUGGGAAGUACGGACGCAAGUCUGAAAUCUUAAAGGAAUUGGCGGGAGCA
RNAcentral lists this ribosomal RNA (868 nucleotides) under uncultured archaeon. RNAcentral's name for it is "bacterial SSU rRNA". It matches the Rfam family "Archaeal small subunit ribosomal RNA", at positions 1 to 876 of the family's 1478-position model. The record is from RNAcentral.